Molecule: long non-coding RNA, 959 nt
Filed under: Phasianus colchicus (ring-necked pheasant)
Lineage: Eukaryota; Metazoa; Chordata; Aves; Galliformes; Phasianidae
Description: lncRNA (ENSPCLG00000017062.1)
Source: RNAcentral
AGCAGAGAGCUGAGCAGAGAGCUGAGCACAGGGCUGGGCACAGGGCUGGGCAAAGAGCAGGGCACAGAGCUGAGCAGUGCUGGGCACAGAGCUGGGUAAAGAUCAGGGCACAGAGGUGGGCACAGGGCUGAGCACAGGGCUGGGCACAGGGCUGGGCAUAGAACUGAACACAGGGCUGGGCACAGGGCUGGGCAUAGAACUGAACACAGGGCUGGGCACAGGGCUGGGCACUGGGCACAGGGCUGAGCGCAGCGUUGCUUUCUGCCCGCAGUACGUGACGGUGAAGCCGAACCAGAAGCAGCUGCUGCGGGGGCUGUUUGUCCCCGAGUGCCCGGGCUGCGGCACCCCACAGCUGGAGCAGGCUGUGGGCAUCGUGGGGGCCGUCAUCAUGCCCCACAACAUGUACCUGCACUCCGCGCUCGUCAAGGUGAGCCGUGCAAUAGGGGGCAGCGCAGUAAGGAGCAGCACAGUGAGCAGUGCAGUAAGGAGCAGUGCAGUAAGCAGUGCAAUAAGGAGCAGUGCAGUAAGGAGCAGUGCAGUGAGCAGUGCAAUGAGCAGCAGUGCAAUAAGGAGCAGCAGCGCAGUGAGCAGCAGUGCAGUGAGCAGUGCAAUGAGCAGCAGUGCAGUGAGCAGCCGUGCAAUGAGCAGCCGUGCAAUGAGCAGCCAUGGGCUGCAGCAGGGAUGGGAGCUCGCAGCUGUGAGCUCUGCAGGUCAGCACUGUGUGCAGCCUUUCCCCAUGGCAGUGGGGUCCGUGCAAGCAAAGCUGCAGCUGCACCAGGCAGCAGCCGCAUGCAUGGGGGCAGGGCUCCCUGUGCACCCCCACACUUUGCACCCCCAACUCUGUGCACCCCCAACUCUGUGCACACCAUCACUCUGCACCUCCCUGUGUGCACCCCCACUCUGUGCACCCCCCCACUUUGCACCCACACUCUGUGCACCCCCCACUUUGCACCCUCACA